AUGAUUUCUGGCCAUGACCCCUGUCACACUACUGCUGUCUCUGCGGUGCCCACAGUGCCGAAACAAGUGCCCAGCAUUCCCAUUCCCCCUUUGUCCUUAUUGUGUCUAAUAAAACCGUGUUCAGUUCAACAUGUGUGUCCGCGACUUUGCUCUCCCCAACCCCUCAUGAAAUAUUGCACGUCACAUGAACAUGUCCGUAUACAAAUGAACAGAAGAGAGGCUGGAGUAAAAUCGUAUGAUCUUUACUGUUGUCUUCAUUCUCUUUUUUUGUUUGCAAAAAUAAAACAAAUGCUCAGCAUAUCAGACACAUCUACAAAGAUUUGUGCAAUGUCAGAAUUAACAGAACAUGUACAUACCCCAAGGCACAAAAAGCAGGAAAAGUUGUGAAGUAAAAGCUGGCUAACGCUGCAAAGCAUAACAAAAGGUGAGUUAUAAUGAGUUAUUAGUGAGUUAUAAUCUUGCUCAGAAUUAUAACUCACUAACACCAUGUAACUACAUCAGCCUAUCAGAGUAUGGCCAGACAAACAGAAAGUAUUACCAGAACCAAAAACAGUAUUAUUUAAACACAUACCCAUGAGACAUAACAUUAUUUUAUUCAAAUUUAAAGAAUGGAAUUCAGGUUUUGUGUGUAAAAUGUUUUAUCAAGCCCAAAGUUGUACAUGGUGUAAAUGUCACUGUUGUGUUUUUGUGAUUCUUUAGUGAAAUAAAGUCCUAGCUAUGCCAAUGUUAAUGUACAAUUUAAAUAAUGAGUAUAGUGUUGAAUGCACAAGAGGGUUGUUUCCCCCAAACACCUGAUUGAAAAAGAUGAGUAGUUUGAUAGAUUGACCGGUUUCCUCCCACUGCCCAAAGGCAUGCACACUAGUGACCUGUUAAUUUUUCUUAUCAAAUAUGUUUUGUAAAAUACUGUUGAACGAAUGCAAUUUUUUAUAAUGUUUGGAAGAGCAUACACUGGGGCAAAAAAGCACCGAUUGUGCAAUUUGUCUCACUUAAAAAGAUCUGUAAUUUUCUUGCUUGUUUUUAGGUUUUAGAUUUUCUGCACCAUACAAAUUCUUUAAAAAUCAGACAAUCCUGGAUUUUACAUUCUGUCUUUUACAGUUGAAGUGUGAUGAUGAAAAUUACAGACCUGUCUCAUCUUUUUAAGUGGGACAACUUGCACAAUCAGUGGCUGCCAAUACCCCACGGUAUCUCUGAUGUGCAUUUUUAAGGGUAUACACAAAAUAGACUCAAAACUCGAAAUGCUGCAAUUGCACCUGGCCUAACCAGGUGUCAAUGUUAAAAUUGUAUCAGCAGGACACGGGACACAAUUCUAUAGAAAUGUGCAUAAGCUAUGUGCUGUAUUUUGUGUUGAACACUGUUUGUAUUGGUCAAGGUGCUUGUCACAGCAGCCAUGCCACCACCGGGCCACCAUUUAUGUUUUGUUUAUAAUACUCACCUUUUUCACCUGUCAAGCAUUUGUGCCUCUCCUUCAUCGGCCC
Molecule: long non-coding RNA, 1475 nt
Organism: Denticeps clupeoides (denticle herring)
Lineage: Eukaryota; Metazoa; Chordata; Actinopteri; Clupeiformes; Denticipitidae
Source: Ensembl